CUAUAGGUUCAGUACCUACGACCCUUGAAUCGACACUAUUCCACAGAUGAUGGUGGCACAAGCAGCGUCCCACACAAAUAGCGUAGUACGGUGCUGCCGUGCAACACUCACAAUUAAAAACACUGACUUUUCAUGACCUGGAUAUGUGAACUUGACAGUUCUCCCCGUGUCCCCGUGGGUUCCAGGAGCUCUGGUUUACACCCUCGCAAGCUGUAAAAAAAAUAUGAAUAUUAAACAAAUUUAACCUGAAAGUUAAAUAUAAAUAUAAGGAUUCACAUGUUUAUACAAUUUAAGACCGUGUAAAUGAUUUACUUUAAACAAAAGGCUUAGAAUACAUUUUCUUGUGCCACAGAAUUCAAUGGAUUCAUAUCUGAAAGAAAAGAAAUAAAGCAUUGCCCUCAUAUAAGAACCCAGCACUGCAGUCAAUCAUUGUGUUCAUGUCACUUUCUUUUAUUAACAGUAGCUAAAGUUAUCAGGUCAGGGAAGCAGAACAAAAAUUACAAUAUUUUAGCUCUAGAAUAUAUGGAGUAGAGUUGUUAUACUAUUGCCAUACAGUCUUCCCAAAUAAAUUUAAAAAAUGAAAAAAAGUGAGCUUACUGGUGUCAUGAUACCGAAGUCCAGUUGUUUCCAGGAAGAAAAUAUAUAUAUAUUUUGUGUUCCCGUUUAUGAACAUUGCAGAGUGGCGCGUGCAGGGAUAGUGUUUGUCCCUCGCGCAUCAUUAAAACGCGUCAGCGUUAGCCACGGCUAGCUGGCUAGCUACAGUAACAGUGCACCCUCAACUUAAAUACACAUUACAUUCAUUGUCCAAAUGUUAUACACGCAUUGCCUACAGCUGUGCAGUUUCCACACUCGCCCACUCUCGAGUUUUUCCUCCGCGUCUCUGACAGCCGUCGACGAUGAAUUGGGUCGGGGGCUCGAGGAGCCGGCUGGUGACGAAGGACGAUGCUAAAAAGCAGAGGGAGUUCUUUGAAAAGAGAAAAAUGCAAAAGAAGCUGAAGAACCUGGGGCUAGCUCUGCCGGCAUCCCCCGGGGGAGCCGGCGCUGCGGCCACCGGCAGCGUGGACCUGGUGACCUUGUUCAUAGUCAACCAGAUCGCUACCAAGAAGGAAAAUAAAGAUCUUCCUAAAGUUGCAGUUCUCGGCAGCGGCAGGAGAGGAUCCAACAGACAGAACAACCCCCUGGUUCUCCCGAUGAGCCCCUGUUCCCCGUCACAGCUGAGUCUGGUCGAGAGCCAGCCUCAGUACAGUGUUCACGGAAUGACAAAGAGCAGGCACGUUAUUCCACAAGGGUUCAGGUGUCAACAGUUGUCACCGGUGCUGGAGUCACCUUUCUCCGACAACAGCGCGUCCGACUACCCGCCGCCCACAUUCGCCCGCCUCAGCCCCUUCUCCUCCAUGUCGUCCGCCUCCUCGUGCCAAGGUGGUGUGUUCCCCCUGAAGUUGAGUCGUCGGCAGCUUCCUCCUCGCUGCUCCCCUCCGCCCUGGGUCACCUCCGGGAUGAGGCACGUCCAGUUCCAACCUUUCUCCCAGCCCAGAGGGAUGACAGACAAUCUGCCCUGGUCCUGUGGAUCCGACCCAGCGCUCUACCAACAGGAGACGCCCACGGCGGCGCAAGUCCUGUUCGGGAGUCCAGAACCAGACGUGUCAGACGUAAGAGUCCGCGACGUCAGCUUCUCCCUUGAUCAAACGGAGGACAAGGAGUCGGCGUUGGACUUCACGCUGCACCAGUCGGACGCCGAGCAGCAUUUUGAGGAGGACGUCUUCAGGGGCUUCAGUAACGAAGACGACGAAAAAGAAGCUUUUCAUUUUGGGAGUGCAAGGUCCAAGAUAUACCUCAGAGAUGGAACACCAGUCAAAUCCUCAGCACCGCAAACUGUCCCUGACUUACAUUGUGUGGGAAUGGAGCUCUCCAACUGCAGUGACAAAAACUUCUCAUAUCCUGGACACAACAGUGGCCACGUGGAAAACUGCGGGUAUUCACAGAGUUACUCCUGUGCGGGAUGUUACCUCAGCUCAGACUCAAACGAUGAAGAAGAAUACUGCCCGCCAUGCCUCCAGGCUUCUGCAUCUUCACACGCGGAGCAAGCCUGUUGCGCACAUGCCUCGAACCAGGGCUCAAAGGGGGAGCCAGAACACGGGCCUCUCACCCCACACAUAAAACCCCAAAUGAACGUCAAAGUUGAUGAGACGGUUACGAAUAACGCGGCGGACAAAGCCUCAGGAAGCGGCGGCCGACGGCUACGAAGCGGCACAGCUCAGUCUGCAUCUAUUCGCCCUCCGGUUCAAACUCUGACCUCAGAGAUCUUCGAAUGCAGAACACUCUCCGGUGAAACCAGAGACGCCGGGACCCAAACCGUCGCCUGGGAACGGUGCGAUGCCUCGACUCAGUGCGGCUUCCUCAUCGGGUCCGCAGCCCCCGGGUUCAGCAUCGGCCUUCCACCUGUUGGCGUGUCGGUGCAAUGUCUCGCCACCGGGAGGCAGACGGACACUGCCGCUGCCUCCGCAGAGCCGAGCACACACACUGCAGCCGCAACAGGCAACGGCGGAGGGAAGCAUACGCCCUGGAGCAGGAAGAAACCCGAGGCUGGUUCCCCACCGGGCGGCUGUGGCUUCGUGACCAAAUUCUCUGCCAACAACGACGAUAGCAAAGUGUCCCCAGAGACACACGGCGGCCGCUUCCCGGAGGCUCUGAGCUCGACCGCUGGCAGAGGUGAAGAGGGCAGAGGUGAGAGAGGGCGACGUGAAUCAGACACAGGGACCGGAGAGCUCUGA
RNAcentral lists this long non-coding RNA (2771 nucleotides) under Scophthalmus maximus (turbot). RNAcentral describes it as "lncRNA (ENSSMAG00000032603.1)". The record is from RNAcentral. Lineage: Eukaryota; Metazoa; Chordata; Actinopteri; Pleuronectiformes; Scophthalmidae.